RNAcentral lists this ribosomal RNA (512 nucleotides) under Candida albicans. Its description in RNAcentral is "eukaryotic LSU rRNA". The stretch from base 145 to 298 matches the Rfam family "5.8S ribosomal RNA". Lineage: Eukaryota; Fungi; Ascomycota; Pichiomycetes; Serinales; Debaryomycetaceae. The record is from RNAcentral.
GUGGCAUCUGACUGCUUAUUGCACCACAUGUGUUUUUCUUUGAAACAAACUUGCUUUGGCGGUGGGCCCAGCCUGCCGCCAGAGGUCUAAACUUACAACCAAUUUUUUAUCAACUUGUCACACCAGAUUAUUACUAAUAGUCAAAACUUUCAACAACGGAUCUCUUGGUUCUCGCAUCGAUGAAGAACGCAGCGAAAUGCGAUACGUAAUAUGAAUUGCAGAUAUUCGUGAAUCAUCGAAUCUUUGAACGCACAUUGCGCCCUCUGGUAUUCCGGAGGGCAUGCCUGUUUGAGCGUCGUUUCUCCCUCAAACCGCUGGGUUUGGUGUUGAGCAAUACGACUUGGGUUUGCUUGAAAGACGGUAGUGGUAAGGCGGGAUCGCUUUGACAAUGGCUUAGGUCUAACCAAAAACAUUGUUUGCGGCGGUAACGUCCACCACGUAUAUCUUCAAACUUUGACCUCAAAUCAGGUAGGACUACCCGCUGAACUUAAGCAUAUCAAAAGGCGGAGGAA